Molecule: long non-coding RNA, 2417 nt
Organism: Armigeres subalbatus
Lineage: Eukaryota; Metazoa; Arthropoda; Insecta; Diptera; Culicidae
Exons: 3
Source: RefSeq, a predicted model, not a curated record
AGAUGAAACCGGAUCGCAUCAAAACAAUCGCACGAAUGGGUUUGAACAGUAAGUGAGUAAACUGAUGUUUUGAUGAGUAGCUCUGAUAAGGGCGGGAAAGGUUAGCACUCGAGUCGAGUGAGUGCGUAAUGAUGCAAGUUUAUAGUGUUUUGUAGAUGGAGGCGACAGUAGCUGACAAGGGAUCACGUUUUGCAACACUUGAGAAGGAUUAACUUGGCAGCAAACGGUGCGGUACAAUAAUAUCAAUAAAAUGGAGAGUUUGCUUGAAUUUGAACAACGCUUAUGAUGAGUGCCGAAACCGGAAAGGUACUGGAAUUGAAUAUUGCCGGCAGUGAUAAGCGUUAAAUUAGCUUCGGUAGCACACCAAGGUUCCAAUAAAUAAUGGCAUCGCCAUGAGAAGGGGUGUUGUUUCGAUCAUAUACAUCGAGUGGAAUAGCACUUCAGGCAGGAUCAUCACGCUUUGUUAAUUAUAAAAACUAUAAUUAAAAUAAAAUUUAAUAAUGCAUAACAUUUUUAUAAUUCUUUUUAGGUUUCUAGAGGGUCAACAAAACAAGGCUAAGGAUCUGCGACCGAACAAGAUGAAAAAGCUUUAUUAAGUAUUAGCUGAAAAAAAUCAACAGAUAUUAUACAAAAUCUGGAUAAAUUAAACUCAAAUCAGUAUUGAAGUUAUGAACUUCACGAUCGCACUUAAUUGAGCAAUAAGGCGGACCACCGUGGAGAACCCGUCUUAAGAUAUCAAAGGGAAUAACAUUCUAGAUUGUUUUGCAAAGAGACGUGAAGAUUAUCUUUGGUAAGUCAGCAGUACAAUAUUGCAUACCAUGCGUCUCCAUCUCAAUCAUUGAAAAAAAUGAUUUCCGGCUUUGGCGCAGUUCACCACACUACACGCUGCGACAUUUCGUAGGUACAACUUUGACUCCGCCCCCAACAAAUUUGGUUCGGUCGGAGUAUAGUGGACUAUUGUACGUUGUACGACUGUUGGACAGACGGUUUCAAAGUUGUAAAGUUCGUCGGAUGAAAUCAAAACCGUUUGAUUUUGCUCAGACUGGUGGGCCUAGUCAAAUGUUUUACAGAACAAAAAAGGUCUAUUAGAAAAUUUCUUCUGCGAGCGGCGGGAUUUGUUUUUAGAAUCAUUUGUUGUCGAACCCUCCGUAUAUUCUUGCUGGGUGGGAUAGGAAACCUUCCGACUCAUAAUGGAAAUCGCGGCAGCUAUAUCUGGACGGGUUUUCACAGUGAUAUACAAUAGCUGUUCUACCACUUUCUGUACAACAGAUUUUACCAAUGCAUCGAUGUUCUUGGGUUGACUUUGGUGAAAGUCUCCAGCUUCAUCUCGCACCACUUCAAUGCCCAGGUAAUGUCGGACAUUCCAAAGGCAACUGAUUUUGAAGUUUCGCUUGAGCGUUGCCUCCAAGGUUUUGGUGAUCCAGCCAUCAAUCAGGUCAUUGACGUAAACGAGAACGUAACACCACCUUCCUCUAAACUGCUUUCGAUACAAGCAAGGAUCUGCAGCAUACUAUUGGAAACUAGUUAGUUUGAAGACCUCUUGAAGGCGAUGAUUCCACGAGCGUACAGCCAGCUUCAAACCAAAGGGCGUUUCUUCGAUCGGCAGACCUUGCUGUCCAACUGCACAUCCAGGGGGCUGUCUCAUGAAAAUCUCCUCCUCAAGGUUGCCGUGGAGAAAGGCCGUCUUCACAUCGUACUGCUUAACCAUCAUUUUUUGUUUCGCCGCAACAGACAUCAGGGUCCGAAACGUAGUUUAUUGUUUAUUUAUUAUUGUUUAUUUUAUUUCGUCAACCAACGUAGACUAGUACAUAUACAUAUACAUGUUUGUUUUUGUAAUGCUAUAGUAUAAUUAAAUAAUAGGUUUUUUAGUAAAGUGAUAUAUAAUUUUGAUUUUGAAUUUAUAUUGCUGAAUUUGUAAUGUUUGUUCUUUAGAAAUACUGUCUAAUGUUAUGCCGAGACAUUGUUAAGUCAAUAGUUUCGCAGUGUUGAUUGUAAACGGCCAUCAUUCGGUUGAGAGGCCCAAAUUUGGCGUAAUUUGUUCGGCAGUGGUUGGUUAAAAAUAAUGUUCUAUGUCGAAGUAGCCGAGAAGGUAUGUAAAAGUUAAAUUUCGAUAAAAUUUCAGUUGAAUCAACAUGUUGAGAAACUAUAUCGUUAACAAAUGAAACCGUUGCACAUUCUCGACGUUCUUUCAAAGUUUGUAUAUUUAUAAGCAUGCAACGUGCUUCAUAAGAUGGAAGAGGAAAUGACGUCCAACCUAAUUUACGAAGAGCGUAUAAUAGAAAUUGUUUUUGCACUGACUCUAUUCUUUCUUCAUGUGUGGUUGUAUAAGGCGACCAUACAAUGCUACAAUAUUCCAGUAUAGAUCGUACAUAUGAAAUAUAUAGUGUUUUGAUUGUGUAGGGAUCCUGAAAGUUGAA